UACGAAGGGUGCAAACGUUGCUCGGAAUUAUUGGGCGUAAAGCGCACGUAGGCGGCUUGGCAAGUCGGAUGUGAAAUCCCUCGGCUCAACCAAGGAAGUGCAUCCGAAACUGCUAAGCUUGAGUACUUAAGAGGAUCGCGGAAUUCCCGGUGUAGAGGUGAAAUUCGUAGAUAUCGGGAGGAACACCAGUGGCGAAGGCGGCGAUCUGGGAAGAUACUGACGCUGAGGUGCGAAAGCGUGGGGAGCGAACAGG
Molecule: ribosomal RNA, 253 nt
Filed under: uncultured bacterium
Lineage: Bacteria
Description: partial 16S ribosomal RNA
Rfam family: Bacterial small subunit ribosomal RNA
Source: RNAcentral